CCUACGGGAGGCAGCAGUGGGGAAUAUUGCACAAUGGGGGAACCCCUGAUGCAGCAACGUCGCGUGAGUGAUGACGGCCUUCGGGUUGUAAAGCUCUGUCUUCAGGGACGAUAAUGACGGUACCUGAGGAGGAAGCCACGGCUAACUACGUGCCAGCAGCCGCGGUAAUCCGUAGGUGGCGAGCGUUGUCCGGAUUUACUGGGCGUAAAGGGGGCGUAGGCGGACUUUUAAGUGAGAUGUGAAAUACUCGGGCUCAACUUGAGUGCUGCAUUUCAAACUGGAAGUCUAGAGUGCAGGAGAGGAGAAUGGAAUUCCUGGUGUAGCGGUGAAAUGCGUAGAGAUUAGGAAGAACACCAGUGGCGAAGGCGAUUCUCUGGACUGUAACUGACGCUGAGGCUCGAAAGCGUGGGGAGCAAACAGGAUUAGAUACCCGAGUAGUC
RNAcentral lists this ribosomal RNA (440 nucleotides) under uncultured bacterium. RNAcentral's name for it is "partial 16S ribosomal RNA". It matches the Rfam family "Bacterial small subunit ribosomal RNA", at positions 338 to 795 of the family's 1533-position model. The record is from RNAcentral.